AAUAGUCAAAAAAAUAAAAAUCACACCAACUUUUAGAAGGCGAUGGAGAUGGCGAUAUCGACUCUCGGGAGAUUUGGGUUUUGCUGGUGAAGAAUCACAUUUUUGCGAAGGUUUGAAGGGCUUCUCCGAAUCCUAUUAUGGAUGGAACAAGAGAGGUGAUGAAGACGGAAACAUAUUGGAGAAAAGCUAGAGGCAGAACUCUGAGGGAACAAUUUAUCAGUCUCAGUCUCAAACUUUUUUUCUCGAUAAGCUUGCUGUUUUAAUGAUUCAUUUGUCAUUUGUAUCCUUAUGAAAGUAGAGCAACGAGUUAUAGAAGAGAAAUUGUAGAAACCUUUGGAAUCAUGUUCCUCUAGAACAAGGGCGAUGACUGGCGAGAUGGAAUAUGGUUUUGUUUCAUUUAUUUCUUACGAACUUCUUCCAUUUCUCCAGCCCAAAACACAUCAAUUGUUGUUAGACAACAUUUCCACUCUCGAAGAAACAGGGAUGAUGAGGUUGACGUUGACCUUGAAGAGUUAAUGGUCGUGGAAGUAAUUUGGCUCUCCAUUCAAGCAAAACUGUUUGUUUAGGAUCACGAACACAGAGAAAUUCAGGUUUUGAGGAUAUGACUUCUUCUAGGCAAUAUGUAUCAGAUCGGUUUCUCAUCUUUUGCAUGUAAUAUGUAUUUAGACCAAUUAUUCGUCAUUUUGUUCACGUUUCAACGACGAAACACCUUAUGAUAUGGGUUUAGAUCGGUUUCUCACCUUUUAUGUGUAAUAUGUAUGAUCUAAUCUUAUGUAUAUAGCAUUAUAGCAA
Long non-coding RNA from Camelina sativa (false flax), 792 nucleotides. RefSeq lists it as uncharacterized. The record is from RefSeq and is a predicted model, not a curated record. Lineage: Eukaryota; Viridiplantae; Streptophyta; Magnoliopsida; Brassicales; Brassicaceae.